AAUCAACGCUGGCGGCGUGCCUAACACAUGCAAGUCGAACGCGAAAGGGGCUUCGGUCCUGAGUAGAGUGGCGAACGGGUGAGUAACACGUGGGUGACCUACCUUCGAAUGGGGGAUAAC
RNAcentral lists this ribosomal RNA (120 nucleotides) under uncultured bacterium. Its description in RNAcentral is "partial 16S ribosomal RNA". It matches the Rfam family "Bacterial small subunit ribosomal RNA", at positions 32 to 147 of the family's 1533-position model. The record is from RNAcentral.